Non-coding RNA from Jatropha curcas, 556 nucleotides. The record is from RefSeq and is a predicted model, not a curated record. NCBI's taxonomy places the organism in Eukaryota, Viridiplantae, Streptophyta, Magnoliopsida, Malpighiales, Euphorbiaceae.
AUAGAGAUUCAAUUUUUCACAUAGACAGGGACAUCAAAGGGAGAUAAAAUCAUUUAGCUCACUGAAAAGGCUAUAAAACCGGACAAUAGAUAGCAUUUCAGAGACAAGGUGCUGGAAGAAUACCUUCUAGCUCAUCAACAUAAUGCGCUCAAAUAUUUUCCCCAUAAAGACGCUUCCACAGCAUCAUAGCUUGACCAGGUCUGAAUCCAUGAGAUUGAACCCAUUUCUGGCAUAGUGGAUUCCCACAAUUAUUACUUGGAAAACUUUAACAUAAAAUUAUAUAUAAAUUCUCAUAUUUGGAAUAUUAGAAUUUAUUUUGAAUUUCUAGUCUAGCUAGCUUGGACCACAGUUUAAAAUUGUAUACUUUUUUGAGUUUAGUAUAGGAAGAAAAGGAGAGUAGAAAAACACACUUCAAGCUCAGUGUAAUUCAUUCCCUUAAGAAGCACCUUUGAACCCUUGGUUAGAAUAGCAUUCAUGUCUCUACUUCCUACACAAAUAAACAGCCACAAAACAAAUAAAUAAAUAAAAUGGGAGCUCAAAAAACAACAUAUGUUAC